CACUCCUAGAGGUGAGGGGCAGCGGGCCAAAAAAGGAUAGCGUGUCUGACUUGAACGACGCUCGUCCGUGAUUCGCUCUUCCGGUGCCCCUUUCGGACUCCUCACAAUCGUUCAUUCUUUUUCUAUUUCGAACGAAUGGGGGCUUCCUGAUGACGGGGGGACACCCUCCGUGUGUGCGGCAUUUCAGGGCCGCGUGCCUGCUCUGUGGGGCCGCCGGGGGCCUGCGGCCUGGCCUUGGGUGCUGGCUGCGGACUGCUGGUGUGGGCGGGCAGAGGGCUGCGCUGGGGCUGCGCGCAUCCGGAGGCUGGGCGAGAGGAGCCCGCUAGGCGCGCGGCCCCGGCUCGACGGCAGGGCGCUGAGUCCUGGGCGAAGACUGCUGAGCCGUAUGCCUGCGAAGGUAGGCGAGCUGCGCUUGUGUAUGUAUAGUGGUGGACCUGUUAGAGGUGUAGGGGACUUUUUCGGCGACGAGGAAAAUGUCUUUUCAGGAGUUGGUGAGCAGGGCGGGGGUGUGCCCCCGCCCAUUCGGGCGCUGCGUGCCGCGCUGCUUGUUCGCCUCUAUUCUCUGUCUAACGCUCUCGUGUCAGCUUUGGCCACUUUCCAUCGCUCGGUUGUGGCCUCCUAUUCUCUCGAAACCGUUGCUCCUCCCUCAUCGCGGUCGACUUGCUGCACGUGAGGAAGCGUGCCCCUCGACCUCCUUACGCCUCUCCGUCGCAGCGGUUCCUCAGCCGUGACGGCAAGGGAGGCGGAGCUCGCUCCUCCAAGCUUCUCUCUGUGGAUGCGGCGGGGAGGGCGGGCGUCUCAGGUUUGCAGCCUACUUGACGCCAUUUCUUGCGCGCUCUGUUUGAUGUGUUUGGAAGAGUAAAGGGUGCUGCUUGAUGUUAAGUAUUCUCGCGCUGUGCAAGUGAUCUCUAUGGUUUUUUUCGCUCAUCUGCCAACGAGCGCUGCUGCGAACAUCACUGUUACUCCCUCUGCUCUCCUGUUUUCUUCGUUUGUAG
This 995-nucleotide unclassified non-coding RNA is filed under the name Leishmania donovani. Its description in RNAcentral is "gene:unknown". Lineage: Eukaryota; Euglenozoa; Kinetoplastea; Trypanosomatida; Trypanosomatidae. The record is from RNAcentral.